This is a long non-coding RNA of Lagenorhynchus albirostris (white-beaked dolphin), 544 nucleotides long. RefSeq lists it as uncharacterized. The record is from RefSeq and is a predicted model, not a curated record. Lineage: Eukaryota; Metazoa; Chordata; Mammalia; Artiodactyla; Delphinidae. The transcript has 4 exons.
AGGUAAUGUAACAAAAUCAUAGGAGUGGCAAUCUAUGAUCUUUUCCAUAUUUUGUUGGUUAAAAGCAAGUCACAGGUCCUACCCACACCCAAGCAAGGAGGAUUACACAACGGUAUAGACGAGGAGGUGGGGAUCAUGGGGCUUACCUAGUUAAUCAGAACAUAACAAGAAAGAGAAAGCCAUCUCAACUCCAGAAAAUGACAUUGAUCCCAUCUGGAAAAGUGCUCAGAAUAGUGACUCUUCACUGGUCAGUGGAAGAUAUUGAUGUUGCUGAAAACAUUCUUUUGGGAUGAAGCAGCCAUGAAGUUUCCUGCUCAGAACUCCCUUCAAAAGAACCUUCUGCAGGAAGCAUAGUUGGCUGUCAGCCUUCAGCUGCCACCCUUUUUGAUGAAUCAAGGUGGUCAACCGUGGCCACGGUUACCUUGUGCUCUACCAACUCAAUGACGAAACUCUCCCCAAAUGGAGAGUUUAAGUGAAACUGUCACAAAAGUAUUGUUGAUAAGUGAUUUUUAAAUAUAAAUUAAACAAAAGACAAAGAACUUAA